GUUUACUCAUAAUUGAUUUAUGGGUGUGUUUGGUUCGCAUUAUGAAAGAUUAUUAGGAAUAAAAGAUAUUUGAGAAUCUUAUUUCUGUUCAUUCUAUUACUAAGAAUGUGAAAUUUCUAUUUUUGGUUUGCACGGUAAUAUUAAUUAGCCAUGUUAUUUAAUAUUAUAAAAAAUAUACAAUUAAUUUAUUUAUUUAUUUAAUUAAUUUUAGAUAAUAUUACCAAAAGUUUCAACAUCUUUUUAGAAAAAAGUGAGAGAGAGUAUAAGUUUGAGAGAGAGAGCAUAAUUAAAAAAAAUAGAAAGAAAAAUAUAGUCGAAAUUAGAGGGAGUGAGAGAGUUGAAAUUUUAGAAAAAGAGAGAGAGAGAGAAAGCUUAGUUUAGAGAGAGAAAAAAAAAUUGAAAUUUAGGGAGAAAAAUAAGUUUAGAGAGAGAUAUAAGGUUAGAGUGUAAAGAAAAAUAAUAUCAAUUAGCCGGCGGGUAGGAAGAAAGAAAGAGAUUAGAUAUAUUAUGAUUACCCCAAUCCUACCCAUCCUCCCUCAAGGGAAUGAGAUUAGUACUUUGGGGUGAAUCUUAUUCCCAAAUAAAUCCAAUAUUACCAACUAGAUUACUUAGUGCGUUUAGCCAAAUAUCGUCAUAUUUUUUUAAUCCCAUUAGAUUACUAGAAAUUUUUAAAAGAUAGGGCGAACCAAAUGCACCCUAUAGGUUAAAAAGUAAGUUUUUAGUUGAACUGAAAUUUAAGUAAAAAAAAAGGUAAUUUUUCGUUACUAUUUGAUUGAUAGGAAGUCCACGGCACUGCAUUUGUAGUUAUUCCACUUUUUGCAUUUAUUUUACUGAAAAUUUUUAGGAAAAACUUCAAAUAUCCCUUGUGGUUUCGUACUUUCUUACUUUAGUAUUAUGUGGUUUAAAGUGUAUCAAGUUAGUAUCCUGUGGUUUCGCACUUUCUCACUUUAGUACCCUGUGGUUUAAAGUGUUUCAAGUUAGUACUCUGUAGUUUCAUUUUUGUAUCAAAUUAGUACCUCGUGGUUUCAUUUUUCUCUUUUUAUUAUCCAUUUCGGAAUAUUUUUUUCGCUAAAUCAGUGAUAAAGUUAAACUAAAUGAUACUAAAAUGAAUAUUCGAUAAACUUAGGUAAGGUGUCGGAAGUUUUUCGUAUAUAAUUUAACGAAAUAUUAAACCACGUGGUAAUAAAGUGAGAAAGUGCGAAACUGUAGGGUACUAAUUUGACAUACUUUAAAUCACAGGAUACUAAAGUGAGAAAAUGUAAAACCACUGGGUACUAACUUGAUAUAUUUUAAACUAUAAGGUACUAAAGUGAGAAAAUGUGAAACUACACGGGAGUAUUUGAAGUUUUUCUAAAUUUUUAUAUUAUCAUACAAGAAGGUUAAAA
This 1385-nucleotide long non-coding RNA is filed under the name Ananas comosus (pineapple). Its description in RNAcentral is "long non-coding RNA (ACOM_LNC028476)". Lineage: Eukaryota; Viridiplantae; Streptophyta; Magnoliopsida; Poales; Bromeliaceae. The record is from RNAcentral.